Molecule: ribosomal RNA, 473 nt
Filed under: uncultured delta proteobacterium
Lineage: Bacteria; Deltaproteobacteria
Description: bacterial SSU rRNA
Rfam family: Bacterial small subunit ribosomal RNA
Source: RNAcentral
CGUGAGUGAUGAAGGCUUUCGGGUCGUAAAGCUCUGUCAAGUGGGAAGAAAAUGCUUGAUGCUAAUACCAUCUUGCACUGACGGUACCACUGAAGGAAGCACCGGCUAACUCCGUGCCAGCAGCCGCGGUAAUACGGGGGGUGCAAGCGUUAUUCGGAUUUAUUGGGCGUAAAGGGCGCGUAGGCGGUCUUUUAAGUCAGAUGUGAAAGCCCGGGGCUUAACCCCGGAAGUGCAUUUGAAACUAAGGGACUUGAGUAUGGGAGAGGGAAGUGGAAUUCCUGGUGUAGAGGUGAAAUUCGUAGAUAUCAGGAGGAACACCGGUGGCGAAGGCGACUUCCUGGACCAAUACUGACGCUAAGGCGCGAAGGCGUGGGGAGCAAACAGGAUUAGAUACCCUGGUAGUCCACGCAGUAAACGGUGAACACUAGGUGUAGCGGGUAUUGACCCCUGCUGUGCCGUAGCUAACGCAUUAA